Orcinus orca (killer whale) is the source of this 783-nucleotide long non-coding RNA. RefSeq lists it as uncharacterized. Lineage: Eukaryota; Metazoa; Chordata; Mammalia; Artiodactyla; Delphinidae. The record is from RefSeq and is a predicted model, not a curated record. The transcript is spliced from 3 exons.
CCAUGGACUGCAUUUCUCAUCCUCUCUUGCAGAUUUUGGAAUGUCAUCGUAAAAGCCCCAGGGCCAGGGAAGAGAAAAUGGAGAAAGAGAAAUAUCAAGUUAAGAAUUCACUGUUACAGAAAUGGCCCAGAGAGAGUAGCCAGAGUUCAAGAAGGGGCAGGGGAGUGCAGAGGGCAUUUCCACUCUCACACCUGAAAGGCCAUGUGAAAACACAAUGAGAAGGCAGCUGUCUACAAGCCAGGAAGAGACCUCUCUCCCCAAACUGAAUCGGCCAACACCUUCAUCUUGGACUUCUAGCCUCCAGAACUGUGAGGAAAAAAAGCUCUGUUGUUUAAGCUACCAGUCUAUGGUAUUUUGUUGUGACAGCCCUAGGAAAUGAAUACAGCCUCCCUCAAGAAGGGCAACCUGUCUCUCAAAUUCAUAGACCAGCAUUCCCAUACAUUAUUUCAUCCUUUAUUAUUUGGUCUUCAAUAAUAUGAGAUUGUUUCACAUGUCUUAAAGCCUUUAUAAAAAUGGUAUCAAACUGUAUGUAUUCUUCUGCAGCUUGUUUUCCUUUUAUUUAUUUUUUGUUUUGUUUUUUCCUUCAUCUUAUAUCUGUGAGAUUUAUUCAUGUGGAUAUUUUUCUCUAGUUCUAGAAUGAUGCACAAUACCUUCUAAAAUGCAAAUACAGUAUCACUUCCUGGAUUAAGAUGCUUCAGGUUUCUUACCUCAAAGAACAUCGAUAAAAAACACAGUUAUGUAUAAAAUAGAUAAUAAGGACCUACUGUGUAGCACAGGGAACUC